Molecule: long non-coding RNA, 591 nt
Organism: Eptesicus fuscus (big brown bat)
Lineage: Eukaryota; Metazoa; Chordata; Mammalia; Chiroptera; Vespertilionidae
Exons: 2
Source: RefSeq, a predicted model, not a curated record
AUAAGGGAAAUAAAUAAAAUAAAGAGGGAAAAAAAUGGCUCCAAAGCUUUUGGACUGAGCAACUGGAAGAGUUGCUCUGCCUGAGGAGCUGGGUUGGGGGAGGUGUGGGAUCAGGAGUUGCAGUUUGAAUCUUUCAAGUCCAUUGAGAGACUUCCAAGUGUCUGGUAAGCACAAGGACCGCUGACUGGGAGGGGGUAGUUCCGGGACAGGGUGUGAGGAGGAAAUGGGAAGUCCAGCGGUUGCUGAACCACAGAAAGCAUGAAGCCAUGAGGCUGGGACCUACCCAAAGAACGGAAGGAGCAGAUAGGAAAGGAGUCGGACUGCUCUGCUGGAAAGGCCAUGGGAGAAGCCACAUGGACAGGCCACCUGGAGAGGGAAAGGUCCCGGGACUACUUGGAGAGAGGAGCCCAGCCUCCUCACCCUCCUUGCCAGCACACCGGGCAUGUGAAUGAGUCAUCCUGGACACUCCAGCCUAGUCAAGCUGCGGGACCCUGCAGCCCUGGCAGAAAUCUGUGAAGAGCAGAAGAACCACCUAGAUGAGCCCAGACAGUGCUGGAAUUUGAGAGAUAAUAAAACAAUUGUUUUAAUCAA